RNAcentral lists this ribosomal RNA (445 nucleotides) under uncultured bacterium. RNAcentral describes it as "partial 16S ribosomal RNA". It matches the Rfam family "Bacterial small subunit ribosomal RNA", at positions 354 to 796 of the family's 1533-position model. The record is from RNAcentral.
GUGAGGAAUAUUGGUCAAUGGACGAGAGUCUGAACCAGCCAAGUCGCGUGAAGGAAGACGGUUCUAUGAAUUGUAAACUUCUUUUGUGCAGGAAUAAAGUGGGUUACGUGUAACCUUUUGUAUGUACUGCACGAAUAAGGAUCGGCUAACUCCGUGCCAGCAGCCGCGGUAUUACGGAGGAUCCGAGCGUAAUCCGGAUUUAUUGGGUUUAAAGGGUGCGUAGGUGGAUUGAUAAGUCAGCGGUGAAAGUUUGCAGCUUAACUGUAAAAUUGCCGUUGAAACUGUCGGUCUUGAGUGCAAAUGAGGUAGGCGGAAUGUGUUGUGUAGCGGUGAAAUGCUUAGAUAUAACACAGAACUCCGAUUGCGAAGGCAGCUUACUGGGAUGCAACUGACACUGAUGCACGAAAGCGUGGGUAUCAAACAGGAUUAGAAACCCCGGUAGUCC